GUACUCGCUUCGGCAGCACAUAUACAAAAACUGGAAUGAUACAGAAAAGAUUAGCAUCCUGAGCAAGGAUGACAUGUAAAUUCAUGAAGCAUUCCAUUAAAAA
This is a small nuclear RNA of Callithrix jacchus (white-tufted-ear marmoset), 103 nucleotides long. The record is from Ensembl. NCBI's taxonomy places the organism in Eukaryota, Metazoa, Chordata, Mammalia, Primates, Cebidae.